UCCGACCUCAGAUCGGACGAGAUUACCCGCUGAAUUUAAGCAUAUAACUAAGCGGAGGAAAAGAAACUAACAAGGAUUUCCCCAGUAACGGCGAGUGAAGCGGAAAAAGCCCAGCACCGAAUCCCUCAGUGUCAUGCUGACGGGAACUGUGGUGUGUGGGACGCCACCAGUCGCAUCAGCGGGCGCCGAAGUCCUCCUGAUCGAGGCUUCACCCAGAGCGGGUGUAAGGCCUUUGCAGGUGCCUCGUUGUGCGGCCGCGAGCGCCCUAGGAGUCGGGUUGUUUGGGAAUGCAGCCCAAAGCGGGUGGUAAACUCCAUCUAAG
Molecule: ribosomal RNA, 322 nt
Filed under: Onchidium stuxbergi
Lineage: Eukaryota; Metazoa; Mollusca; Gastropoda; Systellommatophora; Onchidiidae
Description: eukaryotic LSU rRNA
Rfam family: Eukaryotic large subunit ribosomal RNA
Source: RNAcentral